Molecule: ribosomal RNA, 484 nt
Filed under: uncultured bacterium
Lineage: Bacteria
Description: partial 16S ribosomal RNA
Rfam family: Bacterial small subunit ribosomal RNA
Source: RNAcentral
AUUGAACGCUGGCGGCAUGCCUUACACAUGCAAGUCGAACGGCAGCACGGGAGCAAUCCUGGUGGCGAGUGGCGAACGGGUGAGUAAUACAUCGGAACGUGCCCAGUAGCGGGGGAUAACCCGGCGAAAGCCGGACUAAUACCGCAUACGACCUACGGGUGAAAGCGGGGGAUCGCAAGACCUCGCGCUAUCGGGGCGGCCGAUGUCAGAUUAGCGAGUUGGUGGGGUAAAGGCCUACCAAGGCGACGAUCUGUAGCUGGUCUGAGAGGACGACCAGCCACACUGGGACUGAGACACGGCCCAGACUCCUACGGGAGGCAGCAGUGGGGAAUAUUGGACAAUGGGCGCAAGCCUGAUCCAGCCAUGCCGCGUGCGGGAAGAGGGCCUUCGGGUUGUAAACCGCUUUUGUCAGGGAAGAAACGCUCCGGGCUAAUACCACGGGGUAAUGACGGUACCUGAAGAAUAAGCACCGGCUAACUACGUG